RNAcentral lists this ribosomal RNA (758 nucleotides) under uncultured bacterium. Its description in RNAcentral is "bacterial SSU rRNA". It matches the Rfam family "Bacterial small subunit ribosomal RNA", at positions 8 to 796 of the family's 1533-position model. The record is from RNAcentral.
AGAGUUUGAUCAUGGCUCAGGGUAAACGCUGGCGGCGUGCCUAAAACAUGCAAGUCGAGCGGUGUCCUUCGGGGCACAGUGGCAGACGGCUGAGUAACGCGUGGGUGACGUACCUAUCGAUGGGGAAUAACUGCCCGAAAGGGUGGCUAAUACCGCAUACGUCCACUGAUUCGUGUCAGUGGGGAAAACCGCAAGGUGUCGAUGGAGCGGCCCGCGUUCGAUUAGCUGGUUGGUGGGGUAACGGCCUACCAAGGCGACGAUCGAUAGCUGGUCUCAGAGGAUGAUCAGCCAGACUGGGACUGAGACACGGCCCAGACUCCUACGGGAGGCAGCAGUUAGGAAUUUUGGGCAAUGGGCGCAAGCCUGACCCAGCAACGCCGCGUGGGUGACGAAGGCCUUCGGGUUGUAAAGCCCUUUUCUGAGGGAAGAUGAUGACGGUACCUCAGGAAGAAGCACCGGCUAACUACGUGCCAGCAGCCGCGGUAAUACGUAGGGUGCGAGCGUUGCCCGGAUUUAUUGGGCGUAAAGGGCGCGUAGGCGGUCACGCACGUCCGUUGUGAAAUCGCUCGGCUCAACUGGGCGGGGUCAGCGGAUACGGCGUGGCUGGAGCAAGCUAGGGGGCAAUGGAAUUCCCGGUGUAGUGGUGGAAUGCGUAGAUAUCGGGAGGAACACCAGUGGCGAAGGCGGUUGCCUGGAGCUUNNUGACGCUGAUGCGCGAAAGCGUGGGGAGCGAUCCGGAUUAGAUACCCUAGUAGUCC